CGUCAUAGUUCAGAAGCGAUGAUGACCGGGAGCGUGUGCUGUGCGCGCCUGCCUUGAGGCCAGCCUCAGAGAAGGGUGCCCCAGAUGUAGGCAAAGCGUCCUCCAUGUGUUCGUGGAGGACCGUCCCAAGCCCUUCUCCAUUCUCCCAACCUCUUGGGCCUGGCAGAAAGGUGUUAAAUGGCUUGCAGAAUUGUUGGGAAGGCUAAGCUUCCAGGAGCAGCUCCCAAAGUCUCCACACACAACUGGACCACCAGGGAACCUGCUCCCUCCACCAGGACAGGACUUGGAAAGCUGCCACCGCAGUUACCAGCACCAGAAGGAUCUUGUCUCUGCUAAGUCUCUGUCCACAUAGUGAAUACCCCGUGCCCUGCCUCUCCCUGACUCAGGUCCCACUCCAGGUCUUGCCCAAGUCUUUCUGAUUGGUGGAACUUAAAUCACACCCAAAAUUCCAGCUGCAGGAGAGCUCUGAGAUUUCAUCUUUCCAACCUCUGUGUGCUACAUGGGGGUUGGAGCACUUGCUGACAAGCCUUGCAACCACCAGUGACAGUGA
This 550-nucleotide long non-coding RNA is filed under the name Gorilla gorilla gorilla (western lowland gorilla). RNAcentral describes it as "lncRNA (ENSGGOG00000044540.1)". Lineage: Eukaryota; Metazoa; Chordata; Mammalia; Primates; Hominidae. The record is from RNAcentral.